GGAUUUAGCUUUAAUCAACAUGCAGCUUUUCAUUUCUCAAGACAUUAUUUGAUGGACUGGAGUGCUGUGGAUUAUUGUGAUGUUUUUAUCAGCUGUUUGGACUCUCAUUCUGACGGCACCCAUUCACUGCAGAGCACCCAUUGCUGAGACACUGAUGCAAUGCUACAUUUCUACAAACCUGAUGAAGAAACAAACUCAUCCACAUCUCAGAUGGUCUGAGGGAAAUUACAUCAUUAUGCAGGGAAAACAGCAGCACAAACAUCAUCAGUAAGUAUUAUCAAAGG
Cyprinus carpio carpio is the source of this 284-nucleotide long non-coding RNA. The record is from Ensembl. Lineage: Eukaryota; Metazoa; Chordata; Actinopteri; Cypriniformes; Cyprinidae.